CAGUCGUGCGAGAAAAGGGGGGCAACCCCCUGAGUAAAGCGGCGCACGGGUGAGUAACACGUAGGUAACCUACCUUCGAGCCCGGGAUAACCUACCGAAAGGUGGGCUAAUACCGGAUAGGACCACAGGGGUGACGGCCUCUGCGGUGAAAGAUGGCCUCUGCUUGCAUGCUAUCACUUGAAGCUGGGCCUGCGCGCCAUUAGCUAGUUGGCGGGGUAAUGGCCCACCAAGGCUAUGAUGGCUAGCUGGUCUGAGAGGAUGGCCAGCCACACUGGGACUGAAACACGGCCCAGACUCCUACGGGAGGCAGCAGUGGGGGAUAUUGCGCAAUGGGCGAAAGCCUGACGCAGCGACGCCGCGUGGGUGAUGAAGGCCUUCGGGUCGUAAAGCCCUGUCGAGGGGGACGAAACCGCGCCGACCCAAUACGUCGGCGUCUUGACGGUACCCCUAAAGGAAGCACCGGCUAACUCCGUGCCAGCAGCCGCGGUAAUACGGAGGGUGCGAGCGUUGUUCGGAAUCACUGGGCGUAAAGCGCGUGUAGGCGGCCCGCUAAGUCUGAUGUGAAAGCCCGGGGCUCACCCCCGGAAGGGCAUUGGAAACUGGCGGACUCGAGUCUCGGAGAGGAGGGUGGAAUUCCUGGUGUAGCGGUGAAAUGCGUAGAUAUCAGGA
RNAcentral lists this ribosomal RNA (669 nucleotides) under uncultured bacterium. RNAcentral's name for it is "bacterial SSU rRNA". It matches the Rfam family "Bacterial small subunit ribosomal RNA", at positions 59 to 702 of the family's 1533-position model. The record is from RNAcentral.